This is an RNA transcript of Molossus molossus (Pallas's mastiff bat), 1416 nucleotides long. It is a transcript of the gene named gem nuclear organelle associated protein 8, with no coding region annotated. The record is from RefSeq and is a predicted model, not a curated record. Lineage: Eukaryota; Metazoa; Chordata; Mammalia; Chiroptera; Molossidae. The transcript has 6 exons.
UACGCGUCUAGUCGCUCCGGCAACAGCUCCUCCCACUCACCAUCCACAGGAAGUAGACCCCAGCUAUCCCACCGCCCAGGAUCAGCAAGCCAGGAGCCCACGAGUUUCGGUGCCCAUUUGGACUUUCACAAUCAGAGAUGGCAGCAGAGGCAGAAUCAUCAGAAACUACCAAGCCUUGGUCUUGUCAUCCAGUAUAUGCAAGAUACUGGCAACAUUAUUAUCAAGCAAUGGCUUGGAUGCGAAGCCACCAGAAUGCCUAUCGGAAGGCCGUGGAGUCUUAUUUCAGUUCCCCGUGGUACUUCACUUCUGGAGGUCUUCCCCAGAGCUGUUAUGACCAGAAGGGUGGAUCUCCUCAGUCCUUCUGUGACCCUCACUUGGCCUCCCAGGACUCCCACUGUGAGUAUUCACAUUCUCCAAGGCCUGGGAAGCAUCCUCAUGACAGCACAAGAAAAUACCAAACUUGGGCCACAGAGGAGGAGGUGGAGACCGACUCAGAUGAGGGGAUAGAGUACGACCUGAGCAACAUGGAGAUCACUGAGGAGCUCCGCCAGUACUUUGCAGAGACCGAAAGGCACAGGGAAGAGCGGCGGCGGCAGGAGCAGCUGGAUGCGCAGCGCAUGGAGGACUAUGUGAACGCCGACCACGACCUGUAUUAUAAGACGCGCCGCUCAGUGGAGCCCCCAUCGGAGAGGCCCGGGGAGCGGCGCCAAGUGGAGAUGAAGCGCUUGUACGGGGACAGUGCCGCCAAGAUCCAAGCCAUGGAGGCCGCCGUGCAGCUGAGCUUUAACAAGCACUUUGACCGAAAGCGACCCAAAUACUGAGUUUGAAUGUCAUACAGAACUGAGAACAAAGAACAGUCAUUCCCAAACCUGCUCCCCUCUGCAGUCUCCUGUGUUGUCAACAAGAGCUGAGGCUAUAGCAGCGAGAAGAAGGAGGGAUACACUUGAAAUACUGAGGAAAUAGACGUUCCAUGCAUGGGUUCGUGACUUGUGGCAGGUGAGGAAAAGUCUAGGAUGGCUCAGAUUUCUAUCUUGGAUGGUGGUUCUAGUUAUUGAGGUAAAGGAAACAAUGAGAAACCUGUUUGGGAAGAAGGAUAAUUCUAUUUGGGACACAGUUUGAAGGGCUCACAAGGCAUCAAGUGACAUCUCGUCAGUCACUGGAUAUUUGAGUUUGAAACUCAGUGGAGAGGGUCGGCAUUAAAAAGACUUGAGUCCUCAGCCUUAGGAAUAUGGAAAAGACUAGGCAGAAUGGACCAGUGACAGUGAGCCCUGAGGAACAUGACUUCAAAACAUAAGUAAGAGGAGUCUGUGCAGGGAACUGAGAAGAAACGACAAAGAUAAAGAGGAGGAAAAGCAGGAGCUAAAGGUGUCUCAAAAAGAAAACUGUGACAAUAUGCAUUCUGCUGGGAUACAUUAG